UCUGGUGGUUCAUCGGAGAGGAAACACCUGAUCUCAUUCCGAACUCAGCAGUUAAGCUCUCUUGAGGCGAUGAUACUCGUAAGGGGAAAGUAGCUUGCCGCCAGGU
Molecule: ribosomal RNA, 106 nt
Filed under: Candidatus Yonathbacteria bacterium RIFOXYC2_FULL_47_9
Lineage: Bacteria; Candidatus Yonathiibacteriota
Also listed under: 1 other name
Source: RNAcentral